UAUCGGAACGUACCCAAGAGUGGGGGACAACGCAGCGAAAGUUGCGCUAAUACCGCAUACGAUCUACGGAAGAAAGUGGGGGACCUGCAAGGGCCUCACGCUCGUGGAGCGGCCGAUAUCUGAUUAGCUAGUUGGUGAGGUAAAAGCUCACCAAGGCCUUGAUCAGUAGCUGGUCUGAGAGGACGACCAGCCACACUGGAACUGAGACACGGUCCAG
This 217-nucleotide ribosomal RNA is filed under the name uncultured bacterium. RNAcentral describes it as "partial 16S ribosomal RNA". It matches the Rfam family "Bacterial small subunit ribosomal RNA", at positions 116 to 334 of the family's 1533-position model. The record is from RNAcentral.